Molecule: ribosomal RNA, 801 nt
Filed under: Streptococcus anginosus
Lineage: Bacteria; Bacillati; Bacillota; Bacilli; Lactobacillales; Streptococcaceae
Description: bacterial SSU rRNA
Rfam family: Bacterial small subunit ribosomal RNA
Source: RNAcentral
GGCUUUGGAAACUGUUUAACUUGAGUGCAGAAGGGGAGAAUGGAAUUCCAUGUGUAGCGGUGAAAUGCGUAGAUAUAUGGAGGAACACCGGUGGCGAAAGCGGCUCUCUGGUCUGUAACUGACGCUGAGGCUCGAAAGCGUGGGGAGCGAACAGGAUUAGAUACCCUGGUAGUCCACGCCGUAAACGAUGAGUGCUAGGUGUUAGGUCCUUUCCGGGACUCAGUGCCGUAGCUAACGCAUUAAGCACUCCGCCUGGGGAGUACGACCGCAAGGUUGAAACUCAAAGGAAUUGACGGGGGCCCGCACAAGCGGUGGAGCAUGUGGUUUAAUUCGAAGCAACGCGAAGAACCUUACCAGGUCUUGACAUCCCGAUGCUAUUUCUAGAGAUAGGAAGUUUCUUCGGAACAUCGGUGACAGGUGGUGCAUGGUUGUCGUCAGCUCGUGUCGUGAGAUGUUGGGUUAAGUCCCGCAACGAGCGCAACCCUUAUUGUUAGUUGCCAUCAUUGAGUUGGGCACUCUAGCGAGACUGCCGGUAAUAAACCGGAGGAAGGUGGGGAUGACGUCAAAUCAUCAUGCCCCUUAUGACCUGGGCUACACACGUGCUACAAUGGCUGGUACAACGAGUCGCAAGCCGGUGACGGCAAGCUAAUCUCUGAAAGCCAGUCUCAGUUCGGAUUGUAGGCUGCAACUCGCCUACAUGAAGUCGGAAUCGCUAGUAAUCGCGGAUCAGCACGCCGCGGUGAAUACGUUCCCGGGCCUUGUACACACCGCCCGUCACACCACGAGAGUUUGUAACACCCG